GGGGCCAUAUUCUCCUAUACUAUCUUCAUGACGAGCACUUACAUUACUAGCUCCCUCAACGUAAAAGGGAAAGAAACAAGGACUUACUCAACUCUAUUGACUCUACUUACUUCCCUUACUGGACAGGAUUAUCAACUAAACUAACGACUGACUCGCUUGAGAGCUUAACUACAUUACUACAAUUUUCACACUUAGAAAACUCACCUACUAACUAGCCCUUAUACUCGUUCCAUUUAUUCCACUCGCUGACUUUUCUAUUAAAAUAGUCUGUAUUGACAAGAGGUUUUAUCCUCGAUCCUUCAGUUAGCUUGCCCAAUCACUGGCAACUAUUUCAUAGCCUCCUCUGGCAACAGGUUCCUCUUCUUUAUGUAACUAUACUUUAUCUCUCUGCACUGGCUUGGCUUUCUAAUAAUCUCUUUCCUUGCCUACGGGAUGUGUACAUGAAUUACUAUUAUCUAAGUAGUAUGCUUUCUAGUUCAAGUAGCAAUUCCUGUCUCUGCUUCGACGGAUGAAAGAGUUAUCUUGAGUUGACCCUGACUAAAGUUCAGAACUUUGCUUCAUUGCGUAAGGGGUUGAAAGGUAAUAUUCAGUAUAAUAAUGGAAGGGUCUUUUCUUUAGCUUUUUUUUUACACUGAACUCUUUGCGGUAGCCGGUGUCGGCUAGCAAGUUGCGGUCACACUGCAAGGCUUGCUUGCUUACCCAUUUUGAUCUGACCCUAAAUAAAGUCUUUCUGUUCCUGAUUGAACUCCUUCAUGCCAUUGAUUGAUGACUUCGUAUCUUGUGUAAGAAAUAUUCCAUCAAGUUUAUAGAGACUGAAAGCAGCCUAAACUGGAUCAAUAGAAUAGAACACAGGUAAGGACGAAUGCGAGAGAAUGAGACUCGUAGGUAGUAUUUGUUACUUGCACCGGUCGUUACACCGACGCCAAAUUAAGGCCGGCCGACAUGGAGCCAUGCGCAUGAUUCCAAGAGUCACUAGAGGCGUAAGAAUAACCAGUAACGAAUGGAUGAAGCAAGCACUUUUAGAUGGUAUCGAUCAGAGCCAAUCAACCCUUUUCCCUGAUUAUCGUCACUUAAAUCCCACUAGCCGAAAUUGAAUCCGUCAAGUAAGAGAUAAGCCAGAGAUCCAGAUCAUUAGAAUACGUCACCGGUCCGAGACGAGAUGGGCCUUCUCGCGAAAAAGAGUAGGUUAUUCCUAUCACUAGGAGUAGUAGCGCUAGCGGCGCAGAAGGAUAAAGUAGCUAAGCGCUAAAAAGCUAUCUAGAUAGUUUCCAGCUGAGGGAUAUUGGCUUAGAUUGGUCUUAGCUUCGACUCGUAGUCUUCGACCACUCUUCUUCUUAUCCCCCUUGCUUCCAUUCAGGUAGCGCUGAGAAAUGGCCUAAAAAAGUAAAGUCUUAUUCCACUUGCUUUCUCGCUUGACUUGAAAACUGGAAAAACGGCAGCUAUCGGAAAUAAAACAAACAAGGAGUUUACUAAUAAGGCUUUUUUUUUUAGAGAGAGAGUCUGGGGGUUUUGCUUGCUGGCUCUCAGGGCUUAUAGUCGGUUCUGUUCUUAUUUUUGGUAUUCCCUUUCAUUAGCUACGCUCAGGUUUCACCAACUUCGCGUCGGGUUCACUUCAGUUAAAUCUUGUUAAAGCAAACCAACGGUUGGUUGAACCUUAGGUAGCGAAAGGAACCUUCUAGCUAACCGGGUAAAUUCAAACUCACUACAUACUCCAUGGAAUUGAGAACCCGGCGUAAUUGGUUUUAUCCAGCGGCUCUUUUUCCUAUAUUCUUUCAGAUGGCCCUGCUACGUCUGCCCACUACAGAACAGGCCUGACUCCCGUGAGCAGGUCCGCUGGCUCUUAGUAUGGCUUUUGACUUUUCUGAUCCGGCAUGAUAAAAACUCGAACUCAACUUCUAUUCUUUCAAGAGCAAGAGAAAGGCACCGAGAUCCCGCCGUCGUUUGCCCUAUGCCAAUAGGAUCGACUUGGGUAGUAAGAUUAAAUUGUUAUAUUAAAAAAUACGAAAGUCAGGGGCCGGGAUCAAAGGGUUGUUCUAAAGGACUGUAAAUCCUUGCUCCUAGGAUCCAAGAAGGGGUUUUUGGUUUAUAAAUUACUAAUUACAUAACUUACUACCCUACUAGUGUAGUGUCUACUGACUGAGUCGUGAAUUAGAUUGGAUGGGCGGAGAAUCAAAUUAGGAGUUGUGGAAAGGACUUAAGAGACUAUGUAUCAAGACUCGCGAUAGGAUUUGAGUGCUCAGUCAUUCAAUAUUUUAUGGGUUAUUUUUUCUUAUAGAAAAAAAGGUUGCUUACUAAGUGCUUGUGCUAAGGGAUGACUUGGUUGCUUUUUUUUUUAUGCCCUUACUAUUGUAUCGAUAGAUCCCGGGAUCAAUACAAAAAAAACCUAUGAAUUAGAGUAGAGCAGUUGACGAUUAUUUCUAAUUUAUUGGAAGAAGAAUAGGUGUAGCGAAAAAUAAAAAUAGGAGCUAGAAAGAAAAGGUAGGUUGAAUCUGAAAAGUACUCUGUGGGGGUAACUAUGUUAAGUUAAUUGCGUAUCGUAAAAAAAAAAUAAUAAUGUUAUGGGAAAGAAAUUGCUACUCUAUUCGAUGGGCCAGGAACAAUCGA
This 2604-nucleotide long non-coding RNA is filed under the name Trifolium pratense (red clover). RNAcentral's name for it is "long non-coding RNA (TPRA_LNC011983)". The record is from RNAcentral. Lineage: Eukaryota; Viridiplantae; Streptophyta; Magnoliopsida; Fabales; Fabaceae.